This 465-nucleotide ribosomal RNA is filed under the name uncultured bacterium. Its description in RNAcentral is "partial 16S ribosomal RNA". It matches the Rfam family "Bacterial small subunit ribosomal RNA", at positions 28 to 507 of the family's 1533-position model. The record is from RNAcentral.
GACGAACGCUGGCGGCGUGCUUAACACAUGCAAGUCGUACGGUAAGGCCCUUUCGGGGGUACACGAGUGGCGAACGGGUGAGUAACACGUGCGUAACCUGCCCACAACUUUGGGAUAACGCUAGGAAACUGGUGCUAAUACUGGAUAUGUGCUCCUGCUGCAUGGUGGGGGUUGGAAAGCUCCGGCGGUUGUGGAUGGACUCGCGGCCUAUCAGCUUGUUGGUGGGGUAGUGGCCUACCAAGGCGGCGACGGGUAGGCGGCCUGAGAGGGUGACCGGCCACAUUGGGACUGAGAUACGGCCCAGACUCCUACGGGAGGCAGCAGUGGGGAAUAUUGCACAAUGGGCGCAAGCCUGAUGCAGCAACGCCGCGUGCGGGAUGACGGCCUUCGGGUUGGAAACCGCUUUCAGCAGGGACGAAGCUUUUUGUGACGGUACCUGCAGAAGAAGCACCGGCUAACUACGUG